This 396-nucleotide ribosomal RNA is filed under the name uncultured microorganism. Its description in RNAcentral is "bacterial SSU rRNA". It matches the Rfam family "Bacterial small subunit ribosomal RNA", at positions 9 to 407 of the family's 1533-position model. The record is from RNAcentral.
GAGUUUGAUCUUGGCUCAGAUUGAACGCUGGCGGCAGGCUUAACACAUGCAAGUCGAGCGGGGGAGAUUGCUUCGGUAAUUGACCUAGCGGCGGACGGGUGAGUAAUACUUAGGAAUCUGCCUAUUAAUGGGGGACAACAUCUCGAAAGGGAUGCUAAUACCGCAUACGCCCUACGGGGAAAGCAGGGGAUCACUUGUGACCUUGCGUUAAUAGAUGAGCCUAAGUCGGAUUAGCUAGUUGGUGGGGUAAAGGCCUACCAAGGCGACGAUCUGUAGCGGGUCUGAGAGGAUGAUCCGCCACACUGGGACUGAGACACGGCCCAGACUCCUACGGGAGGCAGCAGUGGGGAAUAUUGGACAAUGGGGGAACCCUGAUCCAGCCAUGCCGCGUGUGUG